CAGAGGGUGGUCUAAUUAAUGAUCUUAGCUUUGGGAGUUAAGGAUGGAAGUUAAAGCCUUUCCCUUCUGA
RNAcentral lists this transfer RNA (70 nucleotides) under Avocettina infans (avocet snipe-eel). RNAcentral describes it as "tRNA-Pro". It matches the Rfam family "tRNA". Rfam says of the family: Transfer RNA (tRNA) molecules are approximately 80 nucleotides in length. The record is from RNAcentral. Lineage: Eukaryota; Metazoa; Chordata; Actinopteri; Anguilliformes; Nemichthyidae. RNAcentral also lists the same sequence under 1 other name.